GAUGAACGCUGGCGGCGUGCCUAAUACAUGCAAGUCGAGCGAACAGACGAGGAGCUUGCUCCUCUGACGUUAGCGGCGGACGGGUGAGUAACACGUGGAUAACCUACCUAUAAGACUGGGAUAACUUCGGGAAACCGGAGCUAAUACCGGAUAAUAUAUUGAACCGCAUGGUUCAAUAGUGAAAGACGGUUUUGCUGUCACUUAUAGAUGGAUCCGCGCCGCAUUAGCUAGUUGGUAAGGUAACGGCUUACCAAGGCAACGAUGCGUAGCCGACCUGAGAGGGUGAUCGGCCACACUGGAACUGAGACACGGCCCAGACUCCUACGGGAGGCAGCAGUAGGGAAUCUUCCGCAAUGGGCGAAAGCCUGACGGAGCAACGCCGCGUGAGUAAUGAAGGUCUUCGGAUCGUAAAACUCUGUUAUUAGGGAAGAACAAAUGUGUAAGUAACUAUGCACGUCUUGACGGUACCUAAUCAGAAAGCCACGGCUAACUACGUG
RNAcentral lists this ribosomal RNA (497 nucleotides) under uncultured bacterium. RNAcentral's name for it is "partial 16S ribosomal RNA". It matches the Rfam family "Bacterial small subunit ribosomal RNA", at positions 28 to 507 of the family's 1533-position model. The record is from RNAcentral.